ACACAAUCCGCUCACAGACACACACACACCAUCUCCAAGAGACAUGCACUGUUCAAAACUACUGGAAAGCCGAAAGGCUGGGUAGCGAAUAAAACAUUACGUCCUCUAACCAAGUAGCAGCAGAUGGGGGAGUGUAGUUUUCCAGACCAGCAAGAUUCUCCGACGGGCCAAAAGCGAUAGAUUCGUCACGCUCCGAUCACAUCCGUCCCAGACCAGGAGAGUAUUUCCGAACAGGAGAUGAACAGGAACCGGUGCCAAUGUCGUCCAAAUGUC
This is a long non-coding RNA of Hypanus sabinus (Atlantic stingray), 273 nucleotides long. RefSeq lists it as uncharacterized. Lineage: Eukaryota; Metazoa; Chordata; Chondrichthyes; Myliobatiformes; Dasyatidae. The transcript has 3 exons. The record is from RefSeq and is a predicted model, not a curated record.